UACGUAGGGUGCGAGCGUUAAUCGGAAUUACUGGGCGUAAAGCGUGCGCAGGCGGCGCGUUAAGACAGGUGUGAAAGCCCCGAGCUUAACUUGGGAAUUGCGCUUGUGACUGGCGUGCUGGAGUGUGGCAGAGGGAGGUGGAAUUCCACGUGUAGCAGUGAAAUGCGUAGAGAUGUGGAGGAACACCUGCGGCGAAGGCGGGUAGCUGGGCCGACACUGACGCUGAGGCGCGAAAGCCAGGGGAGCGAACGGG
This 253-nucleotide ribosomal RNA is filed under the name uncultured bacterium. Its description in RNAcentral is "partial 16S ribosomal RNA". It matches the Rfam family "Bacterial small subunit ribosomal RNA", at positions 524 to 776 of the family's 1533-position model. The record is from RNAcentral.